Molecule: long non-coding RNA, 402 nt
Organism: Balaenoptera acutorostrata (minke whale)
Lineage: Eukaryota; Metazoa; Chordata; Mammalia; Artiodactyla; Balaenopteridae
Exons: 2
Source: RefSeq, a predicted model, not a curated record
AUACAGCAGUGAAGAAAACAGACAAAAAUGGAACUUGAAUUCCAGUGGGGGUGGAGGGAGACAGACAGUAGAGAAGAUACAUGAUUGAAAUGCAUGGUGUAUUAGACAGUGUGCCAAAUCAGCAUGGAAUCUGUUUGAAGACAUUGUUAGUGGCGAUUAAACCAACACCUGUGGUGCUAACAAUGCACAAAACUCAAGGGAAAGGAUGACAAGAUGCAGGACUGUGACCAAGUCUGUGCACGUGCAGCCAACUGCAACUAUAUCACGACUAUCUCCUGGCUGCUUGCAAUUUGAGAUACUGUUGAUUACAACAUACAGCCUUAUUUCAGAGAUGUAAAAAUAUGAAAAAAAGUGUCAUAAGUUUGAUGGAAUACAAUAUUAAAAUUUAAAUGUCCUCCCUAA